AAUUUGAUCAUUGACAUGUUUCAAAAUAUUUUACCCAUUCCAAAUAUCAAUUAAAUUUAUGAACAAUUUUAAAAACCUAUGAAUUCUAAAUAAUUUAUAAACAACACAAUUUAAAUAAAUAUGAAAAUUUUCAACUUGAUUCCACAAAAAUGUAAAAACUCCUUCCAAAUAGCCCAACCUAGGAAGUCACGAAUUCACGAUCCAUAGUCCCAAUUUCUAAAAUCUUUCUAAUUAAAAAAUUUUCACUUUUGCAAAAACUUUUUGCUUUUCACUGUAGGAUGUCUAUGCUGCCUUUAGCAACUGCCAUUACCAUAAAACUUCCUCUUCUUCCAACCCAUAGACUCGUCUCUUUAGUUGGUUGUUUGAUCUUUACUACAUUAAUCCCAAAAUAAAUCUUCUUCACAAGAUGCAAAUCAGAUUUGCAUGGGUCUUGAAAUGAAAACCUCCACAUCUUCUAGUAGCUUCACAAAGGAGACGAGAGCAAGAUCUUGAAAAUGAAAGCCCCCAAAUAGCUCUAGUUUAGGACCAACUACAUGUUGUCGUUUCAUGAUGUGAUGAAUCACCUCGAAAUUGCCUUUUGCCUCAUUUCUUAUUUGUUCCCAUUCGAAUCUAUGAGAUUCCAUUCCCUAAAAGUCAAUAGAAAUAUAGGUUGAGGUGUGAAUAUGGUACUCUUCCAAGGGUUACGGUUUUUGAUAGAGAGUGAAGGCUUAGGGUUUUCGAAAGGAGUGAAGGCUUAGGGUUUUUUAUGCUCUAAGGGUUUGGGUCUUCUAAGGGCUUUUAUACUCAUAUCUAGUAUGAUGUGUAAGAAAAUGGCCAAG
This 818-nucleotide long non-coding RNA is filed under the name Vitis vinifera (wine grape). RNAcentral describes it as "long non-coding RNA (VVIN_LNC000733)". The record is from RNAcentral. Lineage: Eukaryota; Viridiplantae; Streptophyta; Magnoliopsida; Vitales; Vitaceae.